UACGAAGGGGGCUAGCGUUGUUCGGAAUCACUGGGCGUAAAGGGCGCGUAGGCGGCUUUAUAAGUCGGGGGUGAAAUCCUGGAGCUCAACUCCAGAACUGCCUUUGAUACUGGCGAGCUUGAGUCCGGGAGAGGUGAGUGGAACUGCGAGUGUAGAGGUGAAAUUCGUAGAUAUUCGCAAGAACACCAGUGGCGAAGGCGGCUCACUGGCCCGGUACUGACGCUGAGGUGCGAAAGCGUGGGGAGCAAACAGG
This 253-nucleotide ribosomal RNA is filed under the name uncultured bacterium. Its description in RNAcentral is "partial 16S ribosomal RNA". It matches the Rfam family "Bacterial small subunit ribosomal RNA", at positions 524 to 776 of the family's 1533-position model. The record is from RNAcentral.